This 77-nucleotide transfer RNA is filed under the name Candidatus Muproteobacteria bacterium RBG_16_65_31. Its description in RNAcentral is "tRNA-Asp". It matches the Rfam family "tRNA". From Rfam's summary of the family: Transfer RNA (tRNA) molecules are approximately 80 nucleotides in length. Their secondary structure includes four short double-helical elements and three loops (D, anti-codon, and T loops). Lineage: Bacteria; Pseudomonadati; Pseudomonadota; Candidatus Muproteobacteria. RNAcentral also lists the same sequence under 2 other names. The record is from RNAcentral.
GGAGCGGUAGUUCAGUUGGUUAGAAUACCGGCCUGUCACGCCGGGGGUCACGGGUUCGAGCCCCGUCCGCUCCGCCA